Long non-coding RNA from Amblyraja radiata (thorny skate), 167 nucleotides. RefSeq lists it as uncharacterized. The transcript has 3 exons. The record is from RefSeq and is a predicted model, not a curated record. NCBI's taxonomy places the organism in Eukaryota, Metazoa, Chordata, Chondrichthyes, Rajiformes, Rajidae.
GCUGCCUUGGGGCAGUGGAGGACUGUGAAUAAGAUUGCCAAAAAUCAUUGAGAUAUAGGAUAGCGUUUUUUCUAAAAUCAAUAUACAGCGCAGACACGAAGUGGUUAAGAUGAGACUUUUUGUUAUAUAGAUGAAAGCUAAUGUGAAGUGGAAAUGCAAAGUACAUU